This 465-nucleotide ribosomal RNA is filed under the name uncultured bacterium. RNAcentral's name for it is "partial 16S ribosomal RNA". It matches the Rfam family "Bacterial small subunit ribosomal RNA", at positions 28 to 507 of the family's 1533-position model. The record is from RNAcentral.
GAUGAACGCUGGCGGCGUGCUUAACACAUGCAAGUCGAACGGAAAGGCUCCUGCUUGCCGGGGUACUCGAGUGGCGAACGGGUGAGUAACACGUGGGUGAUCUGCCCUGCACUUCGGGAUAAGCCUGGGAAACUGGGUCUAAUACCGGAUAGGACGAUGGUUUGGAUGCCAUUGUGGAAAGUUUUUCGGUGUGGGAUGAGCUCGCGGCCUAACAGCUUGUUGGUGGGGUAAUGGCCUACCAAGGCGUCGACGGGUAGCCGGCCUGAGAGGGUGUACGGCCACAUUGGGACUGAGAUACGGCCCAGACUCCUACGGGAGGCAGCAGUGGGGAAUAUUGCACAAUGGGCGCAAGCCUGAUGCAGCGACGCCGCGUGGGGGAUGACGGCCUUCGGGUUGUAAACUCCUUUCGCUAGGGACGAAGCGCAAGUGACGGUACCUGGAGAAGAAGCACCGGCUAACUACGUG